RNAcentral lists this long non-coding RNA (838 nucleotides) under Nicotiana benthamiana. Its description in RNAcentral is "long non-coding RNA (NBEN_LNC028977)". The record is from RNAcentral. Lineage: Eukaryota; Viridiplantae; Streptophyta; Magnoliopsida; Solanales; Solanaceae.
AGAAAAAAUGUGAUCUCUUCAACUGAAGAAACGAAGAGCAGACUUGAACGAAAACGACGACCAGCAAGCCUCAUGGCUUCCGUCCUCGUCUCUCCUCCAUGUGCGACGAGUUUCAGAUGACCGUCCAUUGAAUUCGGCGGACGCUACUGCUAUCACGUCAUCCUCAUUUUCUCGUCUGUCCUCUCUUUCUGUUUCACUGUUACAUCGCCGGAAACGACGAGAUCCAGCUUUGACUAUUUCUAACGUUUUUCUGCUCGUGCGUUCAUUUGGUUAGCUCAGCUGGAUUCCGUCACCGGUGAGUUUUCAGUUUGCAACCGGUGGAGUUGUGUCUGAGUUGAGAUAUUGCCAUUCCAGUUUCGUCUGCCGGGGAUGGAUACGUCGAGGUUACGAUCAGUAGUUCAUUUGUUUAGAUUUGCUGUUCUUGAGAUUUUGCUUCACUGUUCAUGGCGAAAAACACGCAGCACUAAAGGUUCAUUUUCUUUUCCGAUGUUGUUCUUCUUGCUAAUGUGUUGGAUCGUUUCAUAUUUGAUUUAGUUUGUAUGAUUUAACCGAUUUUUGUGAUAAUGAUUCUGUUGAAUAUGUGAUUUCACAAUUAAUGGUGGCUUUUAGCUAAUAAAGUUGCUAAUAUAAGCUCAAUGUUUAGUGGUAAUUUGUCAAGUUGAAAUACUGUUUAUUAGCGGUACUGAUCCUGUUAGCUUUCAUUGUUAGACUGAUAAGAUACUAGUUGGUUUUUUGAGUUAUCUAGAAUGUAUUUUUGAAUGAAGAUAGUAGGAUACAAAGUUAGGCGCUACUUUGAGAAUUGGGUUUCAAAAUAAUUGUUUCAAUGUUGAGGAAAAAU